Molecule: transfer RNA, 85 nt
Filed under: Felis catus (domestic cat)
Lineage: Eukaryota; Metazoa; Chordata; Mammalia; Carnivora; Felidae
Rfam family: tRNA
About the family: Transfer RNA (tRNA) molecules are approximately 80 nucleotides in length. Their secondary structure includes four short double-helical elements and three loops (D, anti-codon, and T loops). Further hydrogen bonds mediate the characteristic L-shaped molecular structure. tRNAs have two regions of fundamental functional importance: the anti-codon, which is responsible for specific mRNA codon recognition, and the 3' end, to which the tRNAs corresponding amino acid is attached (by aminoacyl-tRNA synthetases). tRNAs cope with the degeneracy of the genetic code in two manners: having more than one tRNA (with a specific anti-codon) for a particular amino acid; and 'wobble' base-pairing, i.e. permitting non-standard base-pairing at the 3rd anti-codon position.
Source: Rfam by way of RNAcentral
GCCUGGGUGGCUUAGUCGGUUAAGUGUCUGACUUCAGCUCAGGUCAUGAUCUUGUGGUUGGUGAGUUCGAGCCCCACGUCGGGCU